AGAGCAACGUCGAGGGGAUGAGGCAGGAAGGCAGCUACAGCAGCAUUGGGAGGCAUGAGAGCAGCAGCAUCGUUUCAGCAGCUGGUGCCGGAGUGACCACAGCUCCCACGUUCAGGUCACCAGAGCAGCAGCUGGGGAUCCCCCGUUAAGCUGGCCCAUCUCUCCCCAGCACCAGCAGCCAAGGCCAAGAGAUAGGAAACAAUCGAUGGUGAGUUGCGUGAAUCAGAGAGCUUUGUCGAACGUCAAGGCCUUGAGGAGGCAAUCGUCGAGGGGUUUGGAUUCCUAAGGACCUGAGGGUUGCCCUUGAGUCCUUCAUUGAAUGAAGUACGUCAUUCGUGGCAGAAGCAAAGAGUUUGUCACCGUCAAAGGGAAGAUCUUCAAUGAUACUCUGGACCUCUCGUGGAAAGGAAGAAGAGAGCCAUGAACCUUGGUGCAUGACCACUGCUGUGGCGGUGGAUCUUGCCGCAGUAUUGGCUGCAUCAAGGGCCGCUUGAAGAGUCGUACAUGAUAUGAUUUGUCCCUCAGAGACUGAAGCUGUGAAUUGUUGCUUCUUUUCAUCUGGAAU
Mauremys reevesii (Reeves's turtle) is the source of this 565-nucleotide long non-coding RNA. RefSeq lists it as uncharacterized. NCBI's taxonomy places the organism in Eukaryota, Metazoa, Chordata, Testudines, Geoemydidae. The record is from RefSeq and is a predicted model, not a curated record. The transcript has 3 exons.